AUACGACAAAGGCAAAGCUAAUGAAAAUUAGUGACGCAAAGCUAAAGGAGCUAAGGUGAAUGUCCAUUCACUAUGCUAGCCAGUUACCGAA
RNAcentral lists this non-coding RNA (91 nucleotides) under Paenibacillus sp. CECT 9249. RNAcentral describes it as "c-di-GMP-I". It matches the Rfam family "c-di-GMP-I riboswitch aptamer". Rfam says of the family: GEMM was predicted in a large-scale screen for bacterial structured RNA regulatory elements. The record is from RNAcentral. Lineage: Bacteria; Bacillati; Bacillota; Bacilli; Caryophanales; Paenibacillaceae.